This 585-nucleotide ribosomal RNA is filed under the name Triticum aestivum (bread wheat). RNAcentral's name for it is "partial small subunit ribosomal RNA". The record is from RNAcentral. Lineage: Eukaryota; Viridiplantae; Streptophyta; Magnoliopsida; Poales; Poaceae.
AUGGCGAGGUCACGGGUCGUCUUGGACAAGCUUGAACAAGAACUCGACGCCAUGCACUCUGCUGAAAAUGGAGGUGUCGCGGACAAUGAAGCCAUUGAGCAGGAUAUUGCUACAAUGUUAUCUGAGAUGAACCAUCUGGGAGCUGUUGACCCGUUCGACAACGAGGAAGAGGAGCAGCAGCAACCAGAGCUUGCCCAUGUGCACACUCAAGAGCAGCAACAUGCUCACAUGCAAGAUCAUGAGCUUGAUGGUGCUGUAGGCGAACGACAUGACAACAGGACAUCCUACCGGCAGCAGCAGGAAAGGGUGAUUAAACCACCCAUAUUCUCAAACACAAAGGGGAGGAAGAGUAAAACGCAAGCAGCGAAAGAAGCAGCCAAAAAGCCGCUACGCCCCAUCAAGCGCGUGGAAUUUGGCCCGGACGGCAAACCUCUCGGGAUAAGGGCAUGCGGAUUCUGCAACGUCGUGAGCAACCAUAACUACCGCACAUGCCCACUCCGCACAGAUGCCACUGUCAACAAGCAAACGCUACACAAGCAUAUUGGAGCCACCCAGGUUUCUACCAAUGGAGACAAUUGGAGGUGA